This is a non-coding RNA of Nomascus leucogenys (northern white-cheeked gibbon), 46 nucleotides long. NCBI's taxonomy places the organism in Eukaryota, Metazoa, Chordata, Mammalia, Primates, Hylobatidae. The record is from Rfam.
AAAAUGGCCUUUUUUGAGGCCAAAAAAGUUUAUUUAAAACGUUUAA